Molecule: ribosomal RNA, 426 nt
Filed under: uncultured Pseudomonadaceae bacterium
Lineage: Bacteria; Pseudomonadati; Pseudomonadota; Gammaproteobacteria; Pseudomonadales; Pseudomonadaceae
Description: bacterial SSU rRNA
Rfam family: Bacterial small subunit ribosomal RNA
Source: RNAcentral
GGGGAAUCUUGGGCAAUGGGCGAAAGCCUGACCCAGCCAUGCCGCGUGUGUGAAGAAGGUCUUCGGAUUGUAAAGCACUGUAAGUAGGGAGGAAGGGUUGUAGAUUAAUACUCGGAAGUUUUGACGUUACCGACAGAAUAAGCACCGGCUAACUUCGUGCCAGCAGCCGCGGUAAUACGAAGGGUGCAAGCGUUAAUCGGAAUUACUGGGCGUAAAGCGCGCGUAGGUGGUUCGUUAAGUUGGAUGUGAAAGCCCCGGGCUCAACCUGGGAACUGCAUCCAAAACUGGCGAGCUAGAGUACGGUAGAGGGUAGUGGAAUUUCCUGUGUAGCGGUGAAAUGCGUAGAUAUAGGAAAGAACACCAGUGGCGAAGGCGACCACCUGGAUUGAUACUGACACUGAGGUGCGAAAGCGUGGGGAGCAAACA